Molecule: ribosomal RNA, 503 nt
Filed under: uncultured bacterium
Lineage: Bacteria
Description: bacterial SSU rRNA
Rfam family: Bacterial small subunit ribosomal RNA
Source: RNAcentral
GACGAACGCUGGCGGCGUGCCUAAUACAUGCAAGUCGAGCGGGGAUUAUGCUUGAUCGCUUCGGUGAGACGGCAUAUAUCCUAGCGGCGGACGGGUGAGUAACGCGUGGGUAAUCUACCUCGUAGUUCGGGAUAACAGGCCGAAAGGCUUGCUAAUACCGGAUGAGUUCAUGCUUAUGCAUAUAGGCAUGAAGAAAGGGCUAGCCCGCUAUGAGAUGAGCCCGCGUCCCAUUAGCUUGUUGGUGGGGUAAUGGCCUACCAAGGCAACGAUGGGUAGCCGGCCUGAGAGGGUGUACGGCCACACUGGGACUGAGACACGGCCCAGACUCCUACGGGGGGCAGCAGUAGGGAAUUUUCGGCAAUGGGCGAAAGCCUGACCGAGCGACGCCGCGUGAGGACGAAGGCCUUCGGGUUGUAAACCUCUGUCUGGGGGAUGAGAACGGACGGUACCCCGGAGGAAGCCCCGGCUAACUACGUGCCAGCAGCCGCGGUAAAUCACGUGUA